This 379-nucleotide ribosomal RNA is filed under the name uncultured bacterium. Its description in RNAcentral is "bacterial SSU rRNA". It matches the Rfam family "Bacterial small subunit ribosomal RNA", at positions 29 to 399 of the family's 1533-position model. The record is from RNAcentral.
AAUGAACGCUGGCGGCGCGCCUAAUACAUGCAAGUCGAGCGAGAAGACGUAGCAAUACGUUUGUAAAGCGGCGAACGGGUGAGGAAUACAUGGGUAACCUACCCUCGAGUGGGGAAUAACUAGCCGAAGGUUAGCUAAUACCGCGUACGCUCCUUGGACUUCGGUUCAGGGAGGAAAGCGAUACCGUGGGUAUCGCGCUCUUGGAUGGGCUCAUGUCCUAUCAGCUUGUUGGCGAGGUAACGGCUCACCAAGGCUUCGACGGGUAGCUGGUCUGAGAGGACGAUCAGCCACACUGGCACUGCGACACGGGCCAGACUCCUACGGGAGGCAGCAGUAAGGAAUAUUGCGCAAUGGGCGAAAGCCUGACGCAGCGACGCCG